This 253-nucleotide ribosomal RNA is filed under the name uncultured bacterium. Its description in RNAcentral is "partial 16S ribosomal RNA". It matches the Rfam family "Bacterial small subunit ribosomal RNA", at positions 524 to 776 of the family's 1533-position model. The record is from RNAcentral.
UACAGAGGUCUCAAGCGUUGUUCGGAUUCAUUGGGCGUAAAGGGUGCGUAGGUGGCGGGGUAAGUCUGGUGUGAAAUCCUGGGGCUCAACCCCGGAACUGCACUGGAUACUGCUUUGCUAGAGUACUGGAGAGGGAACUGGAAUUUACGGUGUAGCAGUGAAAUGCGUAGAUAUCGUAAGGAAGACCAGUGGCGAAGGCGAGUUCCUGGACAGUUACUGACACUGAGGCACGAAGGCCAGGGGAGCAAACAGG